CCUACGGGAGGCAGCAGUGAGGAAUAUUGGUCAAUGGGCGGAAGCCUGAACCAGCCAAGUCGCGUGAGGGAAUAAGGCCCUACGGGUCGUAAACCUCUUUUGCCGGGGAGCAAGGGCGGGGACGUGUCCCGGCCCGGAGAGUACCCGGAGAAAAAGCAUCGGCUAACUCCGUGCCAGCAGCCGCGGUAAUACGGAGGAUGCGAGCGUUAUCCGGAUUUAUUGGGUUUAAAGGGUGCGUAGGCGGGCUUUUAAGUCAGCGGUAAAAAUUCGGGGCUCAACCCCGUCCGGCCGUUGAAACUGGGGGCCUUGAGUGGGCGAGAAGAAGGCGGAAUGCGUGGUGUAGCGGUGAAAUGCAUAGAUAUCACGCAGAACCCCGAUUGCGAAGGCAGCCUUCCGGCGCCCUACUGACGCUGAGGCACGAAAGUGCGGGGA
This 432-nucleotide ribosomal RNA is filed under the name uncultured bacterium. RNAcentral describes it as "bacterial SSU rRNA". It matches the Rfam family "Bacterial small subunit ribosomal RNA", at positions 338 to 767 of the family's 1533-position model. The record is from RNAcentral.